AUACUUACCUUGCAGGGUAGAUUCAAUUAUUAAGAAGGUGGUUUUUCUAGAGUAAGGCUAAUUCAUUGCAAUCAGGAUGUACUAACCCCUGACGUUCCCUCCAAAUCAGGACAUUCAACUAUAUAGUUUGUGAUGGGAAACUGCUUUCAUGUGCUUCUUGU
Non-coding RNA from Arvicanthis niloticus (Nile rat), 161 nucleotides. NCBI's taxonomy places the organism in Eukaryota, Metazoa, Chordata, Mammalia, Rodentia, Muridae. The record is from RefSeq and is a predicted model, not a curated record.